UGGAGAUUUAUUUACUUAGAUGAAGGUACUGGUCCUUUUACCAGGAGUCUCCUAAUAAAACAAAAAUAGCUCUGAGGGAAAGUCAUUAUUGACCCAUAUGCCUUGUCUUGAAAGACUGGUUUUCCACAGAACAGCAGACUUAGAGUCAGGUUCUCAGGGAAGAGGGUCCUCCCUGCGGGAGAGUCAGUGCAGAAGGCGGGAGGCAGGGUCACCGGGGAUUUUAAGCACUGAUAUUCCCCAAGGAGACAGUCAUCUCCCAAGGAGCUCCAGGCACCCAGCACCAGUCAGCGCCAGCGCUGAGAGCGAAGACCCGGAAGUGGGACGUGAGACGAGGCCAGCUAAAGCCCAACUCGGGCAACAGGACAAUUUCCUCUCUGACGAGCUUGUUCCUAAAUAUUAUACUUCCAGCCAAAGUACAGGUCUUCUUUAGAUGACUUGGGGGCCAUGACAGGUUUCAUCCUCUCCAGUGGUCAGACACGUUUCACGGUGGAGUUGAGGUAAUUCUGUCAGUCAAAGGAGGUGUUUGCAGACCAGGAGAACUCCAGCAUAACACAGCCCACUGGCACAAGCAGCUGAAUACUCCUCAGGAGGCCAAGCUCACGAUGUGUCUUAAAGAGGUUCCCAGAGGCCUCCUUACCCGCCGCGUCGUACAGCCUAAGAGGCACGCUGGAUAGUUUUCAGCCAACCCCGCACUGACAGAGCCAGAGAACAAUCCUUCCUUCGGGUCCUAUAGCAGUGUUGAUGGCCACUGAGGGCCGAGAUACGAUUGCCAGAGAU
Molecule: non-coding RNA, 777 nt
Organism: Odocoileus virginianus texanus
Lineage: Eukaryota; Metazoa; Chordata; Mammalia; Artiodactyla; Cervidae
Source: RefSeq, a predicted model, not a curated record